UUUAAAAAGCGUCAAAGCUUUGUCUUUAAUUUUUUAAAUUCAACCUAAUAUUAUUAACCCAUUAUCAGUAUUGAAUAACUUCAUAAAUUAUGAAAAAUACUAUGUUAGAACUAGUAACAAGAAAAUGAAUUUCUCCAAAGUGUAAACAUAAACCAAAAUGGACAGCCCAUUGGUAAUUAACGACCUUGAACUCACUAUAACAAAACAACUAGAAAACUUUAUAUUUUAAUGUCGUUAACCUUACACAAGAACUCUUCUGGAAAGAUUAAAAGGAAGAGAAGGAACUCGGCAAAUUUUAACCCCGCCUGUUUACCAAAAACAUCGCCUUUUGCAUAAAUAUAAAAGGUCCCGCCUGCCCACUGUUUUUAAAAAUCAACGGCCGCGUGAUUUAAACGCGCUAAGGUAGCAUAAUAAUUUGUUCUUUAAAUGAGGACUUGUAUCAAUGGCAUCACGAGGGUUAUACUGUCUCCUCUCCCCAAUCAGUGAAACUAAUCUCCCUGUGAAAAAGCAGGAAUAAACCUAUAAGACGAGAAGACCCCAUGGAGCUUAAAACAUAGUAGCAACCAUGAUAACAUAUCAACAUAAUUUUUAGCCAUGUAUACUAGUUUUAGGUUGGGGUGACCACGGAGUAAAAUAAAGCCUCCACGACGAAAAGAGUAUGCACUUUUAUCUAAGAGAUACUUCUCUAAGAAUUAUUAAAAUAACGUUUAAUGAUCCGACUAUCGACCAACGGACCAAGUUACCCUGGGGAUAACAGCGCAAUCCACUCUGAAAGCUCCUAUCGACGAGUGGGCUUACGACCUCGAUGUUGGAUCAGGGUGUCCCAGUGGUGCAGCCGCUACUAAAGGUUUGUUUGUUCAACAAUUAAAACCCUACGUGAUCUG
RNAcentral lists this ribosomal RNA (884 nucleotides) under Occidozyga cf. laevis KU 306250. Its description in RNAcentral is "partial large subunit ribosomal RNA". The stretch from base 246 to 884 matches the Rfam family "Archaeal large subunit ribosomal RNA", at positions 1423 to 2676 of the family's 2987-position model. The record is from RNAcentral. Lineage: Eukaryota; Metazoa; Chordata; Amphibia; Anura; Dicroglossidae.